RNAcentral lists this ribosomal RNA (490 nucleotides) under uncultured bacterium. RNAcentral describes it as "partial 16S ribosomal RNA". It matches the Rfam family "Bacterial small subunit ribosomal RNA", at positions 30 to 507 of the family's 1533-position model. The record is from RNAcentral.
AUUGAACGCUGGCGGCAGGCCUAACACAUGCAAGUCGAACGGUAACAGGAAGCAGCUUGCUGCUUUGCUGACGAGUGGCGGACGGGUGAGUAAUGUCUGGGAAACUGCCCGAUGGAGGGGGAUAACUACUGGAAACGGUAGCUAAUACCGCAUAACGUCGCAAGACCAAAGAGGGGGACCUUAGGGCCUCUUGCCAUCGGAUGUGCCCAGAUGGGAUUAGCUAGUAGGUGGGGUAACGGCUCACCUAGGCGACGAUCCCUAGCUGGUCUGAGAGGAUGACCAGACACACUGGAACUGAGACACGGUCCAGACUCCUACGGGAGGCAGCAGUGGGGAAUAUUGCACAAUGGGCGCAAGCCUGAUGCAGCCAUGCCGCGUGUAUGAAGAAGGCCUUCGGGUUGUAAAGUACUUUCAGCGGGGAGGAAGGGAGUAAAGUUAAUACCUGUGCUCAUUGACGUUACCCGCAGAAGAAGCACCGGCUAACUCCGUG